RNAcentral lists this ribosomal RNA (484 nucleotides) under uncultured bacterium. Its description in RNAcentral is "partial 16S ribosomal RNA". It matches the Rfam family "Bacterial small subunit ribosomal RNA", at positions 30 to 507 of the family's 1533-position model. The record is from RNAcentral.
AUUGAACGCUGGCGGCAUGCCUAACACAUGCAAGUCGAGCGGAUGAAGGGAGCUUGCUCCUGGAUUCAGCGGCGGACGGGUGAGUAAUGCCUAGGAAUCUUCCUGGUAGUGGGGGAUAACGUCCGGAAACGGGCGCUAAUACCGCAUACGUCCUGUGGGAGAAAGUGGGGGAUCUUCGGACCUCACGCUAUCAGAUGAGCCUAGGUCGGAUUAGCUAGUUGGUGGGGUAAAGGCCUACCAAGGCGACGAUCCGUAACUGGUCUGAGAGGAUGAUCAGUCACACUGGAAGUGAGACACGGUCCAGAGUCCUACGAGAGGGAGCAGUGGGGAAUAUUGGACAGUGGGCGAAAGCCUGAUCCAGUGAGGCCGAGUGUGUGAAAGAGGUCUUCGGAUUGUAAAGCACUCUAAGUUGGGAGGAAGGGCAGUAAGUUAAGACCUAGCUGUUUUGACGUUACCAACAGAAGAAGCACCGGCUAACUUCGUG